RNAcentral lists this ribosomal RNA (542 nucleotides) under Chetogena sp. 1 MATM-2012. RNAcentral describes it as "partial small subunit ribosomal RNA". It matches the Rfam family "Bacterial large subunit ribosomal RNA", at positions 1856 to 2650 of the family's 2925-position model. Lineage: Eukaryota; Metazoa; Arthropoda; Insecta; Diptera; Tachinidae. The record is from RNAcentral. RNAcentral also lists the same sequence under 1 other name.
AACCUGCCCAAUGAAGAUAAAAUUUGAAUGGCCGCAGUAUUUUGACUGUGCAAAGGUAGCAUAAUCAUUAGUCUUUUAAUUGAAGGCUGGAAUGAAUGGUUGGACGAAAUAUUAACUGUUUCAUAAAAAUUUUUAUUAGAAUUUUAUUUUUUAGUAAAAAAGCUAAAAUUUAUUUAAAAGACGAGAAGACCCUAUAAAUCUUUAUAUUUAAAUUAUAAUAAUUUUUUAGAAUUAUUUUAUUGUUAUUAUUAAUAAUAUUUUAUUGGGGUGAUAUUAAAAUUUAAUAAACUUUUAAUUAUUAUUUUUCAUUAAUUUAUGAAUGAAUGAUCCGUUAUUAACGAUUAAAAAAUUAAGUUACUUUAGGGAUAACAGCGUAAUUUUUUUGGAGAGUUCAUAUCGAUAAAAAAGAUUGCGACCUCGAUGUUGGAUUAAGAUAUAAUUUUAGGUGUAGCCGCUUAAAUUUUAAGUCUGUUCGACUUUUAAAUUCUUACAUGAUCUGAGUUCAAACCGGCGUAAGCCAGGUUGGUUUCUAUCUUUAAAAU